Molecule: non-coding RNA, 117 nt
Filed under: Chlorocebus sabaeus (green monkey)
Lineage: Eukaryota; Metazoa; Chordata; Mammalia; Primates; Cercopithecidae
Source: Rfam by way of RNAcentral
GCCGGGUGUGGUGGCUCACGCCUGUAAUCCCAACACUUUGGGAGGCCGAGGCGGGUGGAUCACCUGAGGUCAGGAGUUCAAGACCAGCCUGACCAACAUGGUGAAACCCCAUCUCUA